CUGAAGACCCACAACUGCAGUAGCCAGUCAGCAACAUGUGCUAAUAACGAUGGGUCCUAUGUAUGCGAGUGCCGUCCAGGGUUUAAAACCUGGAAUGGCACUGACUGUCAAGAUGUUGAUGAAUGUAGCUUGAAGACUGAUGGUUGCACUGGUCUGGCAACAUGCGUUAACACGUUUGGUUAUUUCCGCUGUGAAUGCCCACCGGGGCUUAAGAGCAAUGGCACCGGCUGUCGAGAACUUGAUGAAUGCGAAAAACGGAAUUUUACAUGCAGCAGUGAUGCUCACUGUACAAAUGAGAGUGGGACAUUCUCAUGUGUUUGCAAGCCUGGAUUUACUGGAGAAGG
This is a long non-coding RNA of Sycon ciliatum, 344 nucleotides long. RefSeq lists it as uncharacterized. The transcript is spliced from 3 exons. The record is from RefSeq and is a predicted model, not a curated record. NCBI's taxonomy places the organism in Eukaryota, Metazoa, Porifera, Calcarea, Leucosolenida, Sycettidae.